UACAGAAAAUGCGAACGUUAAUCGGAAUUACUGGGCGUAAAGCGCACGUAGGCGGCUUUGCAAGUCGGGUGUGAAAUCCCCAGGCUUAACCUGGGAACUGCAUUCGAGACUGCAUUGCUAGAGUAUGGGAGAGGGAAGUGGAAUUUCCGGUGUAGCGGUGAAAUGCGUAGAUAUCGGAAGGAACAUCAGUGGCGAAAGCGACUUCCUGGACCAAUACUGACGCUCAUGUGCGAAAGCGUGAAAAGCAAACAGG
RNAcentral lists this ribosomal RNA (253 nucleotides) under uncultured bacterium. Its description in RNAcentral is "partial 16S ribosomal RNA". It matches the Rfam family "Bacterial small subunit ribosomal RNA", at positions 524 to 776 of the family's 1533-position model. The record is from RNAcentral.